GACGAACGCUGGCGGCGUGCUUAACACAUGCAAGUCGAGCGGUAAGGCCCUUUCGGGGGUACGACGAGGCGGCGAACGGGUGAGUAACACGUGGGUGACCUGCCCUUAGCUCUGGGAUAAGCCUGGGAAACGUGGGUCGUAAUACCGGAUAUGACUCCAUGACGGCAUGUUGUGGGGUGGAAAGCCUUGUGCGGCUAGGGAUGGGCCCGCGGCCUAUCAGCUUGUUGGUGGGGUGAUGGCCUACCAAGGCGACGACGGGUAGCCGGCCUGAGAGGGCGACCGGCCACACUGGGACUGAGACACGGCCCAGACUCCUACGGGAGGCAGCAGUGGGGAAUCUUGCGCAAAUGGGGCGAAAAGCCUGACGCAGCGACGCCG
Molecule: ribosomal RNA, 378 nt
Filed under: uncultured bacterium
Lineage: Bacteria
Description: bacterial SSU rRNA
Rfam family: Bacterial small subunit ribosomal RNA
Source: RNAcentral